Molecule: ribosomal RNA, 972 nt
Filed under: uncultured bacterium
Lineage: Bacteria
Description: bacterial SSU rRNA
Rfam family: Bacterial small subunit ribosomal RNA
Source: RNAcentral
UCGAUCCGUAAGGAUUGGGCGGGGAAACCGGCGAACGGGUGCGUAACACGUGAGGAACCUGCCCCGAAGACCGGGAUAGCCCGGGGAAACCCGGAUUAAUACCGGAUGUCCUCGAGGGACCGCAUGGUCCGUCGAGGAAAUGGUCCGCCGCUUUGGGAUGGCCUCGCGGCCUAUCAGCUUGUUGGUGAGGUAACGGCUCACCAAGGCCGAGACGGGUAGCUGGUCUGAGAGGACGAUCAGCCACACUGGGACUGAGACACGGCCCAGACUCCUACGGGAGGCAGCAGCAGGGAAUAUUGCACAAUGGGCGAAAGCCUGAUGCAGCGACGCCGCGUGCGGGAUGAAGGCCUUCGGGUUGUAAACCGCUUUCAGGAGGGACGAAAAUGACGGUACCUCCAGAAGAAGCCCCGGCCAACUACGUGCCAGCAGCCGCGGUAACACGUAGGGGGCGAACGUUGUCCGGAUUUAUUGGGCGUAAAGGGCUCGUAGGCGGUUUAGCAAGUCGGUCGUGAAAGCCCGGGGCUCAACCCCGGGACGCCGGUCGAAACUGCUAUGACUAGGGUCCGGUAGAGGUGAGUGGAAUUCUCGGUGUAGCGGUGAAAUGCGCAGAUAUCGAGAGGAACACCAGUAGCGAAGGCGGCUCACUGGGCCGGUACCGACGCUGAGGAGCGAAAGCGUGGGGAGCAAACAGGAUUAGAUACCCUGGUAGUCCACGCCGUAAACGUUGAACACUAGGUGUGGGGGACUUAUCCACGUCCUCCGUGCCGCAGCUAACGCAUUAAGUGUUCCGCCUGGGGAGUACGGCCGCAAGGCUAAAACUCAAAGGAAUUGACGGGGCCCCGCACAAGCGGCGGAGCAUGCGGCUUAAUUCGAUGCAACCCGAAGAACCUUACCUGGACUUGACAUCAUGGGUCUGCCUGUGGAAACACAGGGUGCUUUUGCGCCCAUGACAGGUGGUGCAUGGCUGUCGUC